CCUACGGGGGGCUGCAGUGGGGAAUAUUGGACAAUGGGGGCAACCCUGAUCCAGCCAUGCCGCGUGUGUGAAGAAGGCCCUCGGGUUGUAAAGCACUUUCAGUGAGGAAGAACGCCUGGUGGUUAAUACCCAUCAGGAAAGACAUCACUCACAGAAGAAGCACCGGCUAACUCCGUGCCAGCAGCCGCGGUAAUACGGAGGGUGCGAGCGUUAAUCGGAAUUACUGGGCGUAAAGCGCGCGUAGGUGGCUUGAUAAGCCGGUUGUGAAAGCCCCGGGCUCAACCUGGGAACGGCAUCCGGAACUGUCAAGCUAGAGUGCAGGAGAGGAAGGUAGAAUUCCCGGUGUAGCGGUGAAAUGCGUAGAGAUCGGGAGGAAUACCAGUGGCGAAGGCGGCCUUCUGGACUGACACUGACACUGAGGUGCGAAAGCGUGGGUAGCAAACAGGAUUAAUACCCCUGUAGUC
This 464-nucleotide ribosomal RNA is filed under the name Vreelandella stevensii. Its description in RNAcentral is "partial 16S ribosomal RNA". It matches the Rfam family "Bacterial small subunit ribosomal RNA", at positions 338 to 795 of the family's 1533-position model. Lineage: Bacteria; Pseudomonadati; Pseudomonadota; Gammaproteobacteria; Oceanospirillales; Halomonadaceae. The record is from RNAcentral.